AACGAACGCUGGCGGCACGCUUAACACAUGCAAGUCGAACGGUAACGGCGGUGCUUGCACCGGCCGACGAGUGGCGAACGGGUGAGUAACACGUAGAUACCUACCUUCUUGUGGGGGACAACAGUUGGAAACGACUGCUAAUACCGCAUAAGCUCUAUGGAGGAAAGGCCUUCGGGUCGCGAGGAGAGGGGUCUGCGUCGGAUUAGCUAGUAGGUGGGGUAAAGGCCUACCUAGGCGACGAUCCAUAGCUGGUCUGAGAGGAUGAUCAGCCACACUGGGACUGAGACACGGCCCAGACUCCUACGGGAGGCAGCAGUGGGGAAUAUUGCGCAAUGGGGGCAACCCUGACGCAGCGAUGCCGCGUGAGUGAAGAAGGCCUUCGGGUUGUAAAGCUCUUUUUAGUAGGGACGAUAGUGACGGUACCUACAGAAAAAGCUCCGGCUAACUCCGUGCCCAGCCGCCGCGGUAAUU
Molecule: ribosomal RNA, 471 nt
Filed under: uncultured Magnetococcaceae bacterium
Lineage: Bacteria; Pseudomonadati; Pseudomonadota; Magnetococcia; Magnetococcales; Magnetococcaceae
Description: bacterial SSU rRNA
Rfam family: Bacterial small subunit ribosomal RNA
Source: RNAcentral